ACUCUAAGCGGUGGAUCACUCGGCUCAUGGGUCGAUGAAGAACGCAGCAAACUGUGCGUCAUCGUGUGAACUGCAGGACACAUGAACAUCGACAUUUUGAACGCAUAUCGCAGUCCAUGCUGUUAUGUACUUUAAUUAAUUUUAUAGUGCUGCUUGGACUACAUAUGGUUGAGGGUUGUAAGACUAUGCUAAUUAAGUUGCUUAUAAAUUUUUAUAAGCAUAUGGUAUAUUAUUGGAUAAAUAUAAUAAUUUUUAUUCAUAAUAUUAAAAAAUAAAUGAAAAACAUUAUCUCACAUUUGAAUGUGAAAAACGAAGAGAAAUAUUUUCUUUUUCAAUCAAAUAAUACUGAGAAAUGUCUAGCAUAAAAAAUUGAAAUAUUUUUCAUCUAGAAUUGUCUCUUAUUAAUGAUUCGGAAAUAGAAAAAUCUUGGUUAUGUUAUUAUUCUUCGUUGGUUCGUUAAAAAUGGAUAAAUAAAAACUUUGCAUACAAGAAUUAAUAAAAAUGUUAUAACGAAUUUAAUUAAAUGUUUUAUCAUUAUAUAUAAAGAAUUUAUGGCAAGAUAAAGUUAUAUACAACCUCAACUCAUAUGGGACUACCCCCUGAAUUUAAGCAUAUUAAUUAGGGGAGGAAAAGAAACUAACAAGGAUUUUCUUAGUAGCGGCGAGCGAAAAGAAAACAGUUCAGCACUAAGUCACUUUGUCUAUAUGGCAAAUGUGAGAUGCAGUGUAUGGAGCGUCAAUAUUCUAGUAUGAGAAAUUAACGAUUUAAGUCCUUCUUAAAUGAGGCCAUUUACCCAUAGAGGGUGCCAGGCCCGUAUAACGUUAAUGAUUACUAGAUGAUGUUUCCAAAGAGUCGUGUUGCUUGAUAGUGCAGCACUAAGUGGGUGGUAAACUCCAUCUAAAACUAAAUAUAACCAUGAGACCGAUAGUAAACAAGUACCGUGAGGGAAAGUUGAAAAGAACUCUGAAUAGAGAGUUAAACAGUACGUGAAACUGCUUAGAGGUUAAGCCCGAUGAACCUGAAUAUCCGUUAUGGAAAAUUCAUCAUUAAAAUUGUAAUAUUUAAAUAAUAUUAUGAGAAUAGUGUGCAUUUUUUCCAUAUAAGGACAUUGUAAUCUAUUAGCAUAUACCAAAUUUAUCAUAAAAUAUAACUUAUAGUUUAUUCCAAUUAAAUUGCUUGCAUUUUAACACAGAAUAAAUGUUAUUAAUUUGAUAAAGUGCUGAUAGAUUUAUAUGAUUACAGUGCGUUAAUUUUUCGGAAUUAUAUAAUGGCAUAAUUAUCAUUGAUUUUUGUGUUUAUUAUAUGCACUUGUAUGAUUAACAAUGCGAAAGAUUCAGGAUACCUUCGGGACCCGUCUUGAAACACGGACCAAGGAGUCUAACAUAUGUGCAAGUUAUUGGGAUAUAAACCUAAUAGCGUAAUUAACUUGACUAAUAAUGGGAUUAGUUUUUUAGCUAUUUAUAGCUAAUUAACACAAUCCCGGGGCGUUCUAUAUAGUUAUGUAUAAUGUAUAUUUAUAUUAUUUAUGCCUCUAACUGGAACGUACCUUGAGCAUAUAUGCUGUGACCCGAAAGAUGGUGAACUAUACUUGAUCAGGUUGAAGUCAGGGGAAACCCUGAUGGAAGACCGAAACAGUUCUGACGUGCAAAUCGAUUGUCAGAAUUGAGUAUAGGGGCGAAAGACCAAUCGAACCAUCUAGUAGCUGGUUCCUUCCGAAGUUUCCCUCAGGAUAGCUGGUGCAUUUUAAUAUUAUAUAAAAUAAUCUUAUCUGGUAAAGCGAAUGAUUAGAGGCCUUAGGGUCGAAACGAUCUUAACCUAUUCUCAAACUUUAAAUGGGUAAGAACCUUAACUUUCUUGAUAUGAAGUUCAAGGUUAUGAUAUAAUGUGCCCAGUGGGCCACUUUUGGUAAGCAGAACUGGCGCUGUGGGAUGAACCAAACGUAAUGUUACGGUGCCCAAAUUAACAACUCAUGCAGAUACCAUGAAAGGCGUUGGUUGCUUAAAACAGCAGGACGGUGAUCAUGGAAGUCGAAAUCCGCUAAGGAGUGUGUAACAACUCACCUGCCGAAGCAACUAGCCCUUAAAAUGGAUGGCGCUUAAGUUGUAUACCUAUACAUUACCGCUAAAGUAGAUGAUUUAUAUUACUUGUGAUAUAAAUUUUGAAACUUUAGUGAGUAGGAAGGUACAAUGGUAUGCGUAGAAGUGUUUGGCGUAAGCCUGCAUGGAGCUGCCAUUGGUACAGAUCUUGGUGGUAGUAGCAAAUAAUCGAAUGAGACCUUGGAGGACUGAAGUGGAGAAGGGUUUCGUGUGAACAGUGGUUGAUCACGAGUUAGUCGGUCCUAAGUUCAAGGCGAAAGCCGAAAAUUUUCAAGUAAAACAAAAAUGCCUAACUAUAUAAACAAAGCGAAUUAUAAUACACUUGAAUAAUUUUGAACGAAAGGGAAUACGGUUCCAAUUCCGUAACCUGUUGAGUAUCCGUUUGUUAUUAAAUAUGGGCCUCGUGCUCAUCCUGGCAACAGGAACGACCAUAAAGAAGCCGUCGAGAGAUAUCGGAAGAGUUUUCUUUUCUGUUUUAUAGCCGUACUACCAUGGAAGUCUUUCGCAGAGAGAUAUGGUAGAUGGGCUAGAAGAGCAUGACAUAUACUGUUGUGUCGAUAUUUUCUCCUCGGACCUUGAAAAUUUAUGGUGGGGACACGCAAACUUCUCAACAGGCCGUACCAAUAUCCGCAGCUGGUCUCCAAGGUGAAGAGUCUCUAGUCGAUAGAAUAAUGUAGGUAAGGGAAGUCGGCAAAUUAGAUCCGUAACUUCGGGAUAAGGAUUGGCUCUGAAGAUUGAGAUAGUCGGGCUUGAUUGGGAAACAAUAACAUGGUUUAUGUGCUCGUUCUGGGUAAAUAGAGUUUCUAGCAUUUAUGUUAGUUACUUGUUCCCCGGAUAGUUUAGUUACGUAGCCAAUUGUGGAACUUUCUUGCUAAAAUUUUUAAGAAUACUAUUUGGGUUAAACCAAUUAGUUCUUAUUAAUUAUAACGAUUAUCAAUUAACAAUCAAUUCAGAACUGGCACGGACUUGGGGAAUCCGACUGUCUAAUUAAAACAAAGCAUUGUGAUGGCCCUAGCGGGUGUUGACACAAUGUGAUUUCUGCCCAGUGCUCUGAAUGUCAAAGUGAAGAAAUUCAAGUAAGCGCGGGUCAACGGCGGGAGUAACUAUGACUCUCUUUAGAUGUAAGCAAGGCAUUUGAUUCUCUAUCACAUGCAUCUAUAUACGACACCUUACGUGCUUAU
Molecule: ribosomal RNA, 3277 nt
Filed under: Drosophila melanogaster (fruit fly)
Lineage: Eukaryota; Metazoa; Arthropoda; Insecta; Diptera; Drosophilidae
Description: eukaryotic LSU rRNA
Rfam family: Eukaryotic large subunit ribosomal RNA (bases 573-3277)
Source: RNAcentral